UUGACAGCCCUGGAGACUGAAGUCCUCGGUUUAUCAACAAAAUGGGUACUGCUUAGUGCAGAAAUUUAUGUACGCUAUCCCUUCCCAUGCAUCCCAACCCUAAUCCAGAGGGGAGAGUCGUUCAGUCUCCAUGCCCAGUGUGACAACUUCCCCAUC
RNAcentral lists this small RNA (156 nucleotides) under Chrysemys picta bellii (western painted turtle). RNAcentral describes it as "TUC338 (ENSCPBG00000015379.1)". Lineage: Eukaryota; Metazoa; Chordata; Testudines; Emydidae. The record is from RNAcentral.